UGGGGAAUAUUGGACAAUGGGCGAAAGCCUGAUCCAGCCAUGCCGCGUGUGUGAAGAAGGUCUUCGGAUUGUAAAGCACUUUAAGUUGGGAGGAAGGGCAGUAAGCGAAUACCUUGCUGUUUUGACGUUACCGACAGAAUAAGCACCGGCUAACUCUGUGCCAGCAGCCGCGGUAAUACAGAGGGUGCAAGCGUUAAUCGGAAUUACUGGGCGUAAAGCGCGCGUAGGUGGUUCGUUAAGUUGAAUGUGAAAGCCCCGGGCUCAACCUGGGAACUGCAUCCAAAACUGGCGAGCUAGAGUAGGGCAGAGGGUGGGGGAAUUUCCUGUGUAGCGGUGAAAUGCGUAGAUAUAGGAAGGAACACCAGUGGCGAAGGCGACCAACUGGGCUCAUACUGACACUGAGGUGCGAAAGCGUGGGGAGCAAACAGG
RNAcentral lists this ribosomal RNA (429 nucleotides) under Pseudomonadota bacterium. Its description in RNAcentral is "Proteobacteria bacterium partial 16S ribosomal RNA". It matches the Rfam family "Bacterial small subunit ribosomal RNA", at positions 355 to 776 of the family's 1533-position model. Lineage: Bacteria; Pseudomonadati; Pseudomonadota. The record is from RNAcentral.